This 451-nucleotide ribosomal RNA is filed under the name uncultured bacterium. RNAcentral describes it as "bacterial SSU rRNA". It matches the Rfam family "Bacterial small subunit ribosomal RNA", at positions 38 to 507 of the family's 1533-position model. The record is from RNAcentral.
GGCGGCGUGCCUAACACAUGCAAGUCGAACGGGGUAAUGACUUCGGUUAUUACUUAGUGGCGAACGGGUGAGUAACGCGUGAGGAACCUGCCUCUCAGUGGGGGGACAACAGUUAGAAAUGACUGCUAAUACCGCAUAAGCGCACAGUACCGCAUGGUACGGUGUGAAAAACUCCGGUGGUAUGAGAUGGACCCGCGUCUGAUUAGCUAGUUGGUGGGGUAACGGCCUACCAAGGCGACGAUCAGUAGCCGGCCUGAGAGGGUGAACGGCCACAUUGGGACUGAGACACGGCCCAAACUCCUACGGGAGGCAGCAGUGGGGAAUAUUGCACAAUGGGGGAAACCCUGAUGCAGCGACGCCGCGUGAGCGAUGAAGUAUUUCGGUAUGUAAAGCUCUAUCAGCAGGGAAGAAAAUGACGGUACCUGACUAAGAAGCACCGGCUAAAUACGUG